CAACGAAUUUUUUUUAUCUCAACAGCUGUCCUGAGAGCAUGUCUCUACAUCUCUACCUGCAUUCUGGAAUCAGGGAGAAAGCCAAAACGGACGACAAGACACUAGAUCAGCCGUGUCCAACCCUUUGCCUACAAGGACUUUUCCACCUAUCUGUGGUGGAAACCCCUUGAGGUUAAGACCCCACAAUCACAUGAGGAUGGAGUGGCUCACCCUCAGUCAACAGGCCAGACUCAAGGGGUUCCUGGCAAGUCAUUUCUCCCUCAGGCCUUCGGUUUCCUCACCUACAAGAUGAGAGGGCUGGACCAGAUGGAAAUUCAGGGGGUAAGGG
Homo sapiens (human) is the source of this 328-nucleotide long non-coding RNA. RefSeq annotates it as long independently transcribed non-coding RNA 2799. The record is from RefSeq and is a predicted model, not a curated record. The transcript is spliced from 3 exons. Lineage: Eukaryota; Metazoa; Chordata; Mammalia; Primates; Hominidae.